GGGUUGUGAGGUUAAGCGACUAAGCGUACACGGUGGAUGCCCUGGCAGUCAGAGGCGAUGAAGGACGUGCUAAUCUGCGAUAAGCGCCGGUAAGGUGAUAUGAACCGUUAUAACCGGCGAUACCCGAAUGGGGAAACCCAGUGUGAUUCGUCACACUAUCAUUAACUGAAUCCAUAGGUUAAUGAGGCGAACCGGGGGAACUGAAACAUCUAAGUACCCCGAGGAAAAGAAAUCAACCGAGAUUCCCCCAGUAGCGGCGAGCGAACGGGGAGGAGCCCAGAGCCUGAAUCAGCAUGUGUGUUAGUGGAAGCGUCUGGAAAGGCGCGCGAUACAGGGUGACAGCCCCGUACACAAAAGCGCAUGUGCUGUGAGCUCGAUGAGUAGGGCGGGACACGUGGUAUCCUGUCUGAAUAUGGGGGGACCAUCCUCCAAGGCUAAAUACUCCUGACUGACCGAUAGUGAACCAGUACCGUGAGGGAAAGGCGAAAAGAACCCCGGCGAGGGGAGUGAAAAAGAACCUGAAACCGUGUACGUACAAGCAGUGGGAGCCCCACCACCAAAGCAUUCUCUGGUGUUGAAGGCCCUGCAAAGCAGCAUCGCGGUGGCGGAGCGUCGUUUGCGACGCCCAACACACAAAACAAGCGGUGAGUGCUUUGGGGUGGGGUGACUGCGUACCUUUUGUAUAAUGGGUCAGCGACUUAUAUUCUGUAGCAAGGUUAACCGAAUAGGGGAGCCGGAGG
This 740-nucleotide ribosomal RNA is filed under the name Salmonella enterica subsp. enterica. Its description in RNAcentral is "bacterial LSU rRNA". It matches the Rfam family "Bacterial large subunit ribosomal RNA", at positions 1 to 672 of the family's 2925-position model. The record is from RNAcentral. Lineage: Bacteria; Pseudomonadati; Pseudomonadota; Gammaproteobacteria; Enterobacterales; Enterobacteriaceae.